GAUCCUGGCUCAGGAUGAACGCUGGCGGCGUGCCUAACACAUGCAAGUCGAACGGAGUGUUGAGAGCUUGCUUUUGACACUUAGUGGCGGACGGGUGAGUAAUGUGUGAGCAACCUGCCUUUCAGAGGGGGACAACAGUUGGAAACGACUGCUAAUACCGCAUAACGUAUAUGGACGGCAUCGCCUGUAUACCAAAGGAGCAAUCCGCUGAAAGAUGGGCUCACAUCUGAUUAGCUAGUUGGUGAGGUAACGGCUCACCAAGGCUGCGAUCAGUAGCCGGACUGAGAGGUUGAACGGCCACAUUGGGACUGAGAUACGGCCCAGACUCCUACGGGAGGCAGCAGUGGGGAAUAUUGGGCAAUGGGCGAAAGCCUGACCCAGCAACGCCGCGUGAAGGAAGAAGGUCUUCGGAUUGUAAACUUCUUUUAUGAGGGACGAAGGAUGUGACGGUACCUCAUGAAUAAGCCACGGCUAACUACGUGCC
RNAcentral lists this ribosomal RNA (484 nucleotides) under uncultured organism. RNAcentral describes it as "SSU rRNA". It matches the Rfam family "Bacterial small subunit ribosomal RNA", at positions 15 to 509 of the family's 1533-position model. The record is from RNAcentral.